RNAcentral lists this transfer RNA (75 nucleotides) under Architeuthis dux (giant squid). RNAcentral describes it as "tRNA-Glu". It matches the Rfam family "tRNA". From Rfam's summary of the family: Transfer RNA (tRNA) molecules are approximately 80 nucleotides in length. Their secondary structure includes four short double-helical elements and three loops (D, anti-codon, and T loops). Further hydrogen bonds mediate the characteristic L-shaped molecular structure. tRNAs have two regions of fundamental functional importance: the anti-codon, which is responsible for specific mRNA codon recognition, and the 3' end, to which the tRNAs corresponding amino acid is attached (by aminoacyl-tRNA synthetases). tRNAs cope with the degeneracy of the genetic code in two manners: having more than one tRNA (with a specific anti-codon) for a particular amino acid; and 'wobble' base-pairing, i.e. permitting non-standard base-pairing at the 3rd anti-codon position. Lineage: Eukaryota; Metazoa; Mollusca; Cephalopoda; Oegopsida; Architeuthidae. The record is from RNAcentral.
GUUCUUAUAGUGUAGUGUAGCACGUGAGAUUUUCAAUCUCUUAGAGCACUAAUUGUGUGUAGAGUGUUAAGAAUA